Cimex lectularius (bed bug) is the source of this 73-nucleotide non-coding RNA. The record is from the annotation of a RefSeq genome assembly. Lineage: Eukaryota; Metazoa; Arthropoda; Insecta; Hemiptera; Cimicidae.
GUUUCCGUGGUGUAGCGGUUAUCACAUCUGCCUGGCAAGCAGAACAUCCCCAGUCCGAUCCUAGGCAGAAACA